UACAGAGGGUGCAAGCGUUGUUCGGAGUUACUGGGCGUAAAGGGUGUGUAGGCGGUUGUUUAAGUUUGGUGUGAAAUCUCCCGGCUCAACUGGGAGGGUGCGCCGAAUACUGAAUGACUUGGAGUGCGGGAGAGGAAAGUGGAAUUCCUGGUGUAGCGGUGAAGUGCGUAGAUAUCAGGAGGAACACCGGUGGUGUAGACGGCUUUCUGGACCGUAACUGACGCUGAGACACGAAAGCGUGGGUAGCAAACAGG
Molecule: ribosomal RNA, 254 nt
Filed under: uncultured bacterium
Lineage: Bacteria
Description: partial 16S ribosomal RNA
Rfam family: Bacterial small subunit ribosomal RNA
Source: RNAcentral